AUGGAGGUGUUGAAACUGAAGAUGACUGAGGAGAUUCUUUUUCAGAGAAAGCGUAGAAAGAAAAAGGAAUUUUCUGGAGAGUUCUUGAUAUUUUUCGCUCUGAAUUUCUGUUGUGAAUUGUAUAGAAUAGAUAUAUAUUGGUAUAUGGAGUUUUCUCUGUGUAAAUAUCUUGUAUUCUCCCUUCUCUAUUUUCUGUUGGAUGUUCUGUUAUCUGGAAGUUUUUCUGUUAUAGUGGUUAUGAACAAUUAG
Non-coding RNA from Vicia faba (fava bean), 249 nucleotides. The record is from the annotation of a GenBank genome assembly. NCBI's taxonomy places the organism in Eukaryota, Viridiplantae, Streptophyta, Magnoliopsida, Fabales, Fabaceae.